GAUGAAGAACGCAGCGAAAUGUGAUACUUGGUGUGAAUUGCAGAAUCCCGUGAACCAUCGAGUCUUUGAACGCAAGUUGCGCCCGAAGCCAUUAGGCCGAGGGCACGCCUGCCUGGGCGUCACACGUCGUUGCCCCCCCCAUCUACUCCUUCGGGAUUGCGGGGGGCGGAUGAUGGCCUCCCGUGCGCCUCGCCGCGCGGUUGGCAUAAAUGCCAAGUCCUCGGCGACGCACGCCACGACAAUCGGUGGUUGCGAAACCUCGGUUGCCCGUCGUGUGCGGUCGUCGCGCAUCGAGGGCUCGAAAAAAUUGCCGAGUUCCGGCUCGGCUUUCAACGCGACCCCAGGUCAGGCGGGGUUACCCGCUGAAUUUAAGCAUAUCAAUAAGCGGAGGA
RNAcentral lists this unclassified non-coding RNA (392 nucleotides) under soil metagenome. Its description in RNAcentral is "partial contains 5.8S ribosomal RNA, internal transcribed spacer 2, and large subunit ribosomal RNA". The stretch from base 1 to 122 matches the Rfam family "5.8S ribosomal RNA", at positions 35 to 154 of the family's 154-position model. The record is from RNAcentral.